AACGAACGCUGGCGGCGUGCCUAACACAUGCAAGUCGAGCGCGAAAAGGGCAACCUGAGUAGAGCGGCGCACGGGUGCGUAACACGUGGGUAAUCUGCCCUGAAGUCUGGGAUAAUUUUCCGAAAGGUUGGCUAAUACCGGGUAAGCUCACGGGGACUUUGGUUCCUGGGAGAAAAGUGGACCUCUAUUCAUAAGUUCACACUUGAGGAUGAGCCCGCGGCCCAUCAGCUCGUUGGCGGGGUAACGGCCCACCAAGGCAACGACGGGUAGCUGGUCUGAGAGGACGAUCAGCCACACUGGAACUGAGACACGGUCCAGACUCCUACGGGAGGCAGCAGUGAGGAAUAUUGGUCAAUGGGAGCAAUCCUGAACCAGCAAUGCCGCGUGUGGGAUGACAGGGCUUCGCCUUGUAAACCACUGUCGGACGGGACGAAAGGAGGCCUCGGGCCUCUGGGACGGUACCGUCAAAGGAAGGUCGGCUAACUACGUGCCAGCAGCCGCGGUAAU
RNAcentral lists this ribosomal RNA (507 nucleotides) under uncultured bacterium. RNAcentral describes it as "bacterial SSU rRNA". It matches the Rfam family "Bacterial small subunit ribosomal RNA", at positions 29 to 524 of the family's 1533-position model. The record is from RNAcentral.